AACGAACGCUGGCGGCAUGCCUAACACAUGCAAGUCGAACGAGACCUUCGGGUCUAGUGGCGCACGGGUGCGUAACGCGUGGGAACCUGCCCUUAGGUUCGGAAUAACUCCCCGAAAGGGGUGCUAAUACCGGAUAAUGUCUUCGGACCAAAGAUUUAUCGCCGUUGGAUGGGCCCGCGUUGGAUUAGCUAGUUGGUAGGGUAAAAGCCUACCAAGGCGACGAUCCAUAGCUGGUCUGAGAGGAUGAUCAGCCACACUGGGACUGAGACACGGCCCAGACUCCUACGGGAGGCAGCAGUGGGGAAUCCUGGACAAUGGGCGAAAGCCUGAUGCGGCAAUGCCGCGUGAGUGAUGAAGGCCUUAGGGUUGUAAAGCUCUUUUACCCGGGAUGAUAAUGACAGUACCGGGAGAAUAAGCACCGGCUAACUCCGUG
Molecule: ribosomal RNA, 433 nt
Filed under: uncultured bacterium
Lineage: Bacteria
Description: partial 16S ribosomal RNA
Rfam family: Bacterial small subunit ribosomal RNA
Source: RNAcentral